Molecule: transfer RNA, 64 nt
Filed under: uncultured Strombidinopsis
Lineage: Eukaryota; Ciliophora; Spirotrichea; Choreotrichida
Rfam family: tRNA
About the family: Transfer RNA (tRNA) molecules are approximately 80 nucleotides in length. Their secondary structure includes four short double-helical elements and three loops (D, anti-codon, and T loops).
Source: RNAcentral
GCUAUAGUCUAGUUGGUUAGGAUACAUGGCUCUCACCCAUGAGACCCGGGUUCAAUUCCCGGUG